This 253-nucleotide ribosomal RNA is filed under the name uncultured bacterium. RNAcentral describes it as "partial 16S ribosomal RNA". It matches the Rfam family "Bacterial small subunit ribosomal RNA", at positions 524 to 776 of the family's 1533-position model. The record is from RNAcentral.
GACAGAGGGUGCAAACGUUGUUCGGAAUUACUGGGCGUAAAGCGCGUGUAGGCGGCCCUGCAAGUCGGAUGUGAAAUCCCACGGCUCAACCGUGGAAGUGCAUUCGAAACUGCAGGGCUAGAGUCCUGGAGAGGAAGGUAGAAUGCUUGGUGUAGAGGUGAAAUUCGUAGAUAUCAAGCGGAACACCGGUGGCGAAGGCGGCCUUCUGGACAGUGACUGACGCUGAGACGCGAAAGCCAGGGGAGCGAACGGG